Molecule: long non-coding RNA, 5130 nt
Filed under: Zea mays
Lineage: Eukaryota; Viridiplantae; Streptophyta; Magnoliopsida; Poales; Poaceae
Description: long non-coding RNA (ZMAY_LNC003979)
Source: RNAcentral
AUAGUUCAGAAUCGUGAGAAGCCCUCUCUUCAGAAGCAGAUUUCAGGUAUGUAUACUGACUCACUAGAGCACUUAGUUUUUCUUCCACUUCACCCUUUUCAGUGUAUAAUGUUUGAACUUUCUCAUUCAGUGAGUUAAUAAGUGACGCCUUCGAUUUGAGAUCAUCUUUAGCUGUACGAACAUCUUUCUCCACUUGCUUUAUUUGGGAAUUUGCCUGCUCUAGGUCCUCUUUGGCUUGAUUGCAGAUCACAUUUAGGUUCUCGUAGUCCUUUUCCUUGGCAGAAAGUGAUGAGCUCAGCUCCCUGAUGUGUUCGUCCUUGCCAUUUACCUCUUGGCUAAGCAGAUUUACCUUGCCAUACAAAAUAUCAAGCACUUCCAUAUUUUCCUUCAAUUUGCCUUCAGACAAAUGUUUGUCUUCCUCUGCUUCUGCAAUACUGCUCUUAAGUCGAUCUAUCUCAAGGUUAAGCUGCUCUACUAGCUCCUUCUCCCUUUGAACUUCCUCAGUUAAAGAUGUUACGGUUCUUCUAGAUGAAGCCAACUGAUCUUGCAGGAAGGCUUCCUCCUCCUGAAACUUUCUAGCUUCUUUCUUCAGUUUUACUUGUUCAUCCAAUAUUCUUUUCUCAUAGUUUUCCCUUAGCAUCGACAUUGCUGCCUCGUUUUCAACCAAUUUGGUCUCCAUCUGGGUAACAAAAUAUUAGAUUAAUCAAAUGGGAAUCCGAUCCAUGAAUUUAAUUUAUAGAUAUAAAAUUCUAAGAUAACUUUGACAAAUAAUUUCAACACAGUGAAGUUUCCAGUAUUCCACAACAGUGCACAAUAACUUUUCCAGUACUACAUUGACCAUUGAGACAACUGAGGCUGAAUCCUAAGGUUCAUGAUGACUUAUAUCCUGUGAACUUCUUUCUCAUAUUACCAUGCUACAUGAGUUGCUUGUUUCUUCGUCUCAAUCAACACAAUGCUUGGAGAAAACACUUCAGGAGAGUAUACACGACAAAGCCUACGGAGAUAUCAGUAUCACAGGUGCUAAGUAAAAUCCAAAACUUAUGCCAAGAUAAAUUAGGUAAUAGAUACUUGUAACCAAACAGUAAAUGGAACUCCUGCAUGUUUGAGUAAAAAUAACAAACCAAUAAAUAUGCAAUAAUCAAAAUACAAGAUUCUUGUCAAAGGUGUGGGCGUAUAACUAGACCACCCAGGUGGCCAGGUUUCAGUCCUCGGUGCCUAUUUUCUUAAUAAAAUGACACCUAGUUCCUACUAGGUUGGUCUAGUUUUUUUUAAGUCGAGAUUCUGGAAAAAGAAUUCAAGAAAGUUGACCAACUACGAAUCUGAUGGCAUGUCUGACAAAUUAGCACCACAAUUCUCAUAUGCCCUAAAUAUAUGGGAAGUGACUAAAUGAAUGAACAGUCGUCCUUGUGAUCAAAGAAGAAUUACUUCACGUCAUAAGAUAAUCAGGUAGUGUACAUUUUUUUACAUGCAUACAAGAUUUAGGUUGGAAAAUUAGUUCUAGAUUGCAGCAUCUGGUUAUUUCUUCAGCUCAUUUUUUAUUCCUGUCAAUAUGAAAUUUAAUAUGCAAAUUCUGAAGCAGAAAGUGAUAAAGUAUAAUAAUUUUAUAGAGUGAUUAUAGAUGACAUACAGAUGAGAUGGUCGAUUGCAAAGCCUUCUUUUCUUGUUGAGAAGUACCAAGAAGUCCAGCGAAAACACCAGAAGCAAUAACUGCAAUUGCAUUUAGGAGACCUGCAAGUGGAUUUCUUGCUGGUUGUCCUUGCUCAUCAGGUUGAUGUAGUUCUUCCCAAGGCUCCUCAGGCUGAGUUACAUCAGCCUUUUGAAUAUCUGUUCUAUCUGAAAGAAGAACAAUGACAACCAUUAAAGUUUUAAGUUUUAACUCAUAGUUAGGUAUGUUGAUGGAUGAAAUAUUGCGUACGCCCGCACGGCAACAGGGGGUGUUGGAACCAUUAAUUUAUCAAUUAUUUAACAAUGGAACCAUUUUGCCAAACGACCAAAACAUUUACGGUAACAUUUAUGAUCAAUCCGAACCAAAACCAUACCAGGACAUACCAGCAUUGUGGAAUCCAAAUGCGAACCAAAACCAUAUGGUAACAUUUAUGACAAAAAAUAUUGUGGCUACCAACAAGCAAUUAGUCAGUGCAGGGAUGAUUAAUUGGGAUCAUAAGCUAGUUUGAUGCUAAAAUAUGCAUAUAUUUGAUGACUUAUACUACACUAUUAAUUUAGUGAAAUAGAAACGAAGCAAGCUAUAAAUGAGCAACGAUAGUUCUCAAUCAAAUAGAGCACUAACGCCAUCAGUGGCUGACGAAACUUUUUGACAACACUGCAAUUCUGUAAAGACUAAGGGUGUGUUUGGUUUGAUGAAGGGGUGAUCCAUCAUCUUCUCACUACUUUUUUGUUUGGUUUGUGGAAUAGAAUGGGUUGAUCCACCACCACCUUAUCUCUCACAAACUAAUACUCCCUCUAUACUAAAUUAUAAAAUGUUUUGGCCUUUCUGCAUACAUUGUUUUUAUUAUGUAUCUAGACAUAGUGUUCUAAGUACAUAGCAAAAGCUAUGAAUCUAGAAAAGUCAAAACGUCAUGUAAUUUGAAAUGGAGAGAGUAAUUAACAUAGGCAUGAGGGGAUUCAUUUCAACAAAAUCAUGGGAUGAACUCAUGAUGCAACACCCAUCUAGGAUGGGGCAGUUACUCAAACUAAAUGCAUGGUAAAUGCUGUUGUGGGCUAGCUAUGUAUGUGGCCUAACAUGGUGUCCUGGACUCUUGAGAUGAUUUACAUUAUUAAAUGGGUUUAUGGCUGAUUACAUGGAAACUAGAAGAUUAUUCGUUUUUCAUGCGGUUGAAGUGGUGGUCCAGAACAGACUCCGGCUUGUAUACGCGUGGCAGUCUGCCUGCCAAUUCCAUCUAAUCAGGGGUCAAAACAUGACAAAAAAAUCCAGUCCCCACUGAUACUGUUACCAUUUUUUCUCAGCCGCUUCCUGUUACUUCAGGAAAACCUGAAAACGGUUCUAAACCGGUAAGUAGCUGGCAAAAGCAGUAUCAAAAUCCGGGGGGGGGGGGGGGGGGGGGGGGGGCUUUCUGGGACCAUUCUUGGGUUCCUGUUUUGCACCAUGAAGUUCCCACUGGUAUUCCUGUUUACCUAUGCUUGAGGCGUGCAUGCAAGAUCACAGCCGUUUGUCUCUCCACACCAUUGAUGGCUUAUUUUAUAACCCCUCUCACACAUGACUUGAGCUAAAGUGGGCUAGGUGGGGCUAACUGCAGGAGGAAUAGAAUUGGGUGAAUUGGAUUAUUCGCAUUGAGCCUAUUGGGCGGUAUAUAUAGAGAUUGCAUGACUUGGAGGUCAAGCCGAUACACCGGAUUGUAAGGUGUGGCAAUCCCGAGCAGAGGAGUACUGAUGUUUUGGUGCCCCGAUCGUAGGUGAUGGCCACAGUUGUCAUAGGGUCACAUAUGAACAGAGGCGUGCAAGCGGUGCAUGCGCAUGUGGGAGUCCCCUGGAGCGCCAGGUACUGCACUACAUCACAGCCAGACAUGGUGAAGAUGCCAGUGUAGUCAACAUCAAUGCGGGGGUAGAGACAUGUGAAGACGACAGCACUAAGCAACGCCAAAACUAUCUUAGAACAGAACAAACAAAAGAAACAUCGAUCAACGACCAGCGAGGGAGAGAAAAUCCCAAUCGACGGACCUGGAAAAGACUCUCUAGGGCAGCCAAUCAACACGAUCAGCAAUGUGAGCCUUAGGUACGGGCAGGGGCAGCACUGCCCCCAACAAAGAUCCUCAUGGACACUCCCCGGGAGUGCACGUAGAAGUGGAAGCUUUAGGGUUUGUGGCCUAGAAUUUAAACUCAAACUCAUGAUACCAUGUAUAGGAGGAAUAGAAUUUGGUGGAAUUGGAUUAUUUGCAUUGAGCCUCUUGGGCCCAGGGGCGCAGCUACGUUCAAUUGCCGGGGUCGGCUGACCCCGAUGAGUUUCGAAAAUGCAAUGGAAAAUUAUUGGUUAGCGCUAUUCAUAGAGUAUUUGACCCUAUCACCAAACCUACUGACCCCUGUGACCUUACAUGCUAGCUUCGCCCCUGCUUGGGCCGUAUAUAUAAAGAUUACCUGACUUGAAAGCCAAGUCGGUAUACAGAAUUAUAAUCCCAACUAACUCUACCCUAGUAAUGAUAUGCUAACACCUAAUCAUACCCUGGCUUCUUUGUGGGAACAAGAACAUGCACUAGAGAACACAAGGGAGCCGAUCGGGCCUCUCUACAGCUGAUGUCGGCUCAUUAAUUAAAUGGACAGGCGCACCAAAGAAAUCGGCGUUCACCGUUCUUUUUUUUCUCGAAAAGCAUAGGAGAACUGCGCCCCAUUAUAUUAAGAAGAAAGAAAUGAAGGUCCAAAAUAGACCAGGUACAAGGACUUCCUUACGGAGGUCGAAAACUCAGAAACCUGAGAAGAUCCAUCUAAACAAACUAUAUAAAAACACUACGUGGCAACUCCCGGAAUUGGGGCAGUAAGGAGGCCCAAGCUCUUGGCACCAGCCAGCUCCCACAUUUCUCUUUCUUCCUGCGCUCUUUUGAUAGCAGUUCGCAGUUCAUCGCUUAUACUUUUUUUCAAUUAAACCUCCUUUCCUUCUUUGUCCUGUUAAACUAGUACUUUCAAUUUUUCUUAUAUAUAUACCGUUCAUGGAAAGAUGAUGUCUUUUUUUACAGCAUCAGUGAGGAUAACUAGAACAACAUGCUGUGUCGAUUUAGAUAUUGUAUCAUUAUGUUUUUUUCAAUUUCAAUUAUCAAGUCCUGAAUGUUAUCGACAUGUUUCCAAAUGAAUUGCUCUGUUUCCUAUAUCGCGAAAUACCGCUUAUGCUUUCCCAGUUGGCCUUCCUGAUCCAAUUCUGUUUUCAGGUGAAAAUAUGAAACUGAAAGUAGUUAAAGGCUUCUCCCAACUGUUUCCAGCUGUUUUCAUCCCUACGGGCACAUACAUUAGUGCAAGUGUGCAACUAUUAGUUCCAAGCAAAUAUUCACGAGGUUGUACUUCUCAAUUUUUACUCAUGCACUAGCCACAUAAAAGCAUCAGAGCACUGAGUGAUCUAUUUAAGAAAAAACCUAUGCACUGUGAUUCAUGGCAUCCAAGGUUAUGGCUAUGACAUGUGUUCUGCUCUAU